This 500-nucleotide ribosomal RNA is filed under the name uncultured Actinomycetes bacterium. RNAcentral's name for it is "bacterial SSU rRNA". It matches the Rfam family "Bacterial small subunit ribosomal RNA", at positions 67 to 588 of the family's 1533-position model. Lineage: Bacteria; Bacillati; Actinomycetota; Actinomycetes. The record is from RNAcentral.
CGGAAAGGCCCUUCGGGGUACUCGAGCGGCGAACGGGUGAGUAACACGUGAGCAACCUGCCCCAGGCUCUGGGAUAACCCUCGGAAACGGGGGCUAAUACCGGAUAGGACCUUUCACCGCAUGGUGGGGGGUGGAAAGUUUUUUCGGCCUGGGAUGGGCUCGCGGCCUAUCAGCUUGUUGGUGGGGUGACGGCCUACCAAGGCGACGACGGGUAGCCGGCCUGAGAGGGCGACCGGCCACACUGGGACUGAGACACGGCCCAGACUCCUACGGGAGGCAGCAGUGGGGAAUCUUGCGCAAUGGGCGGAAGCCUGACGCAGCGACGCCGCGUGGGGGAUGAAGGCCUUCGGGUUGUAAACCUCUUUCAGCAGGGACGAAGGUGACGUGUACCUGCAGAAGAAGCGCCGGCUAACUACGUGCCAGCAGCCGCGGUAAUACGUAGGGCGCGAGCGUUGUCCGGAAUUAUUGGGCGUAAAGAGCUCGUAGGCGGCUGGUCGCGU